Dreissena polymorpha is the source of this 149-nucleotide long non-coding RNA. RefSeq lists it as uncharacterized. The transcript is spliced from 3 exons. NCBI's taxonomy places the organism in Eukaryota, Metazoa, Mollusca, Bivalvia, Myida, Dreissenidae. The record is from RefSeq and is a predicted model, not a curated record.
GUGCUCAUUGUCUGGAAGUCCACAUCUUUUGAUAGGUACGUGGUGCUCAUUGUCUGGAAGUCCACAUCGUUUGAUAGGUACGUGGUGCUCAUUGUCUGGAAGUCCACAUCGUUUGAUAGGUACGUUGUGCUCAUUGUCUGGAAGUCCAC